GUAUCAGAAGUGCGAAUGCUGACAUAAGUAACGAUAAAGCGGGUGAAAAGCCCGCUCGCCGGAAGACCAAGGGUUCCUGUCCAACGUUAAUCGGGGCAGGGUGAGUCGACCCCUAAGGCGAGGCCGAAAGGCGUAGUCGAUGGGAAACGGGUUAAUAUUCCCGUACUUGGUGUUACUGCGAAGGGGGGACGGAGAAGGCUAUGUUGGCCGGGCGACGGUUGUCCCGGUUUAAGCGUGUAGGUGUGUGUUCCAGGUAAAUCCGGUUCACUUUAACACUGAGGCGUGACGACGAGGCACUACGGUGCUGAAGCAACAAAUGCCCUGCUUCCAGGAAAAGCCUCUAAGCAUCAGGUAACAUCAAAUCGUACCCCAAACCGACACAGGUGGUCAGGUAGAGAAUACCAAGGCGCUUGAGAGAACUCGGGUGAAGGAACUAGGCAAAAUGGUGCCGUAACUUCGGGAGAAGGCACGCUGACACGUAGGUGAAGUGAUUUACUCAUGGAGCUGAAGUCAGUCGAAGAUACCAGCUGGCUGCAACUGUUUAUUAAAAACACAGCACUGUGCAAACACGAAAGUGGACGUAUACGGUGUGACGCCUGCCCGGUGCCGGAAGGUUAAUUGAUGGGGUCAGCGCAAGCGAAGCUCCUGAUCGAAGCCCCGGUAAACGGCGGCCGUAACUAUAACGGUCCUAAGGUAGCGAAAUUCCUUGUCGGGUAAGUUCCGACCUGCACGAAUGGCGUAAUGAUGGCCAGGCUGUCUCCACCCGAGACUCAGUGAAAUUGAACUCGCUGUGAAGAUGCAGUGUACCCGCGGCAAGACGGAAAGACCCCGUGAACCUUUACUAUAGCUUGACACUGAACAUUGAGCCUUGAUGUGUAGGAUAGGUGGGAGGCUUUGAAGCGUGGACGCCAGUCUGCGUGGAGCCGACCUUGAAAUACCACCCUUUAAUGUUUGAUGUUCUAACGUGGACCCGUGAUCCGGGUUGCGGACAGUGUCUGGUGGGUAGUUUGACUGGGGCGGUCUCCUCCUAAAGAGUAACGGAGGAGCACGAAGGUUGGCUAAUCCUGGUCGGACAUCAGGAGGUUAGUGCAAUGGCAUAAGCCAGCUUGACUGCGAGCGUGACGGCGCGAGCAGGUGCGAAAGCAGGUCAUAGUGAUCCGGUGGUUCUGAAUGGAAGGGCCAUCGCUCAACGGAUAAAAGGUACUCCGGGGAUAACAGGCUGAUACCGCCCAAGAGUUCAUAUCGACGGCGGUGUUUGGCACCUCGAUGUCGGCUCAUCACAUCCUGGGGCUGAAGUAGGUCCCAAGGGUAUGGCUGUUCGCCAUUUAAAGUGGUACGCGAGCUGGGUUUAGAACGUCGUGAGACAGUUCGGUCCCUAUCUGCCGUGGGCGCUGGAGAACUGAGGGGGGCUGCUCCUAGUACGAGAGGACCGGAGUGGACGCAUCACUGGUGUUCGGGUUGUCAUGCCAAUGGCACUGCCCGGUAGCUAAAUGCGGAAGAGAUAAGUGCUGAAAGCAUCUAAGCACGAAACUUGCCCCGAG
Molecule: ribosomal RNA, 1541 nt
Filed under: Salmonella enterica
Lineage: Bacteria; Pseudomonadati; Pseudomonadota; Gammaproteobacteria; Enterobacterales; Enterobacteriaceae
Description: partial 23S ribosomal RNA
Rfam family: Bacterial large subunit ribosomal RNA
Source: RNAcentral